This 480-nucleotide ribosomal RNA is filed under the name Babesia capreoli. Its description in RNAcentral is "SSU rRNA". It matches the Rfam family "Eukaryotic small subunit ribosomal RNA", at positions 510 to 1040 of the family's 1831-position model. Lineage: Eukaryota; Apicomplexa; Aconoidasida; Piroplasmida; Babesiidae. The record is from RNAcentral.
UGGAAUGAUGGUGACCUAAACCCUCACCAGAGUAACAAUUGGAGGGCAAGUCUGGUGCCAGCAGCCGCGGUAAUUCCAGCUCCAAUAGCGUAUAUUAAACUUGUUGCAGUUAAAAAGCUCGUAGUUGAAUUUUUGCGUGGUGUUAAUAUUGACUGAUGUCGAGAUUGCACUUCGCUUUUGGGAUUUUUCCCUUUUUACUUUGAGAAAAUUAGAGUGUUUCAAGCAGACUUUUGUCUUGAAUACUUCAGCAUGGAAUAAUAGAGUAGGACUUUGGUUCUAUUUUGUUGGUUUGUGAACCUUAGUAAUGGUUAAUAGGAACGGUUGGGGGCAUUCGUAUUUAACUGUCAGAGGUGAAAUUCUUAGAUUUGUUAAAGACGAACUACUGCGAAAGCAUUUGCCAAGGACGUUUUCAUUAAUCAAGAACGAAAGUUAGGGGAUCGAAGACGAUCAGAUACCGUCGUAGUCCUAACCAUAAACUAA